AGCACACCCGAGCUGUCAAAUCCUCAUUCCCGCCCACGGCUGCGUCCCACUCAUCGCCAGCCUCUCCCAGUAACCACACACUGACCAUCGCGGGUACUCGUCGUUGCUGCUGGUUGGUGAAUGCGGCCCGUAGACGCGGAGUCUGACCCGGGGUGACUGAGUCUGAGACGGGCUUCAUUCUACUCGCUGCGUCUCCCGCGCCCACCAACUUCUGUGGGAACACGUUUCCUUCACAGCCCCCCACGCGUUCGUGUUGAAACAGCAGCCCAGCCCCAGCAUGACGUCACCUUGGGAAUAAAUGAUGCCUCCACGGACCGGGCUGAGGGCUCGGACAUCUGAGGAUUCAUGAAAUACGACUUCGGUAAGAACUCAAAUUAUGGAAAAAGUUUUUUUGAGUUUGUAUCUCAAAGCAAUGACUUUGUAGCACAAAAGAAGAUAUAAAGCAAAACUAAUGUGUAUUUUAACGAGUUAUUGACGAUGUUUCACACAAAUGUUUUGUUAAACCAGGUGAACGAGUUUGUAUUGCAAAUAAUGUAUUAGUAUCACAAAAUAAUGACUGCCAUUAAUUAAGGAAUUAUUUCAAAGAAAAAUAUGCUAUCAAGACUUCCAAUUUAAGAAGUAAAUAUACCUCUUGUAUAAGCGGAAUAAUACUUCAUUUGAAAUGUAACAAGAUUUUUUGGGAACUACUUUGCAUCGUCCUUUUCCACUUUGAUCUUUUAUGUCACUACAUUUUAUGCUUUUCCCCUCUACAAGGUUUGGUGUUAUUACAUUAGCUAAAUAAAAAUAAGGCAAACAGGA
Non-coding RNA from Gasterosteus aculeatus aculeatus (three-spined stickleback), 798 nucleotides. The record is from RefSeq and is a predicted model, not a curated record. NCBI's taxonomy places the organism in Eukaryota, Metazoa, Chordata, Actinopteri, Perciformes, Gasterosteidae.